UACAGAGGGGGCAAGCGUUGUUCGGAAUUACUGGGCGUAAAGGGCGCGUAGGCGGCCUGCUAAGUCGAACGUGAAAUCCCUGGGCUCAACCCAGGAACUGCGUCCGAUACUGGUUGGCUUGAAUCCGGGAGAGGGAUGUGGAAUUCCAGGUGUAGCGGUGAAAUGCGCAGAUAUCAGGAGGAACACCAAUUGCGAAGGCAGCUCGCUGGGACGUUACUGACGCUGAGACGCGAAAGCGUGGGGAGCAAACAGG
RNAcentral lists this ribosomal RNA (253 nucleotides) under uncultured bacterium. RNAcentral describes it as "partial 16S ribosomal RNA". It matches the Rfam family "Bacterial small subunit ribosomal RNA", at positions 524 to 776 of the family's 1533-position model. The record is from RNAcentral.